AGCGAACGCUGGCGGCAGGCUUAACACAUGCAAGUCGAGCGGGCAUCUUCGGGUGCCAGCGGCGGACGGGUGAGUAACGCGUGGGAACGUGCCUUCUGGUUCGGAAUAACUCAGGGAAACUUGAGCUAAUACCGGAUACGCCCUUUUGGGGAAAGGUUUACUGCCGGAAGAUCGGCCCGCGUCUGAUUAGCUAGUUGGUGGGGUAACGGCCUACCAAGGCGACGAUCAGUAGCUGGUCUGAGAGGAUGAUCAGCCACACUGGGACUGAGACACGGCCCAGACUCCUACGGGAGGCAGCAGUGGGGAAUAUUGGACAAUGGGGGCAACCCUGAUCCAGCCAUGCCGCGUGAGUGAUGAAGGCCUUAGGGUUGUAAAGCUCUUUUAUCCGGGACGAUAAUGACGGUACCGGAGGAAUAAGCCCCGGCUAACUUCGUGCCAGCCGCCGCGGUAA
Molecule: ribosomal RNA, 451 nt
Filed under: uncultured bacterium
Lineage: Bacteria
Description: partial 16S ribosomal RNA
Rfam family: Bacterial small subunit ribosomal RNA
Source: RNAcentral